RNAcentral lists this ribosomal RNA (704 nucleotides) under Bacillus pumilus. Its description in RNAcentral is "bacterial SSU rRNA". It matches the Rfam family "Bacterial small subunit ribosomal RNA", at positions 117 to 807 of the family's 1533-position model. Lineage: Bacteria; Bacillati; Bacillota; Bacilli; Caryophanales; Bacillaceae. The record is from RNAcentral.
GUGGGUAACCUGCCUGUAAGACUGGGAUAACUCCGGGAAACCGGAGCUAAUACCGGAUAGUUCCUUGAACCGCAUGGUUCAAGGAUGAAAGACGGUUUCGGCUGUCACUUACAGAUGGACCCGCGGCGCAUUAGCUAGUUGGUGAGGUAACGGCUCACCAAGGCGACGAUGCGUAGCCGACCUGAGAGGGUGAUCGGCCACACUGGGACUGAGACACGGCCCAGACUCCUACGGGAGGCAGCAGUAGGGAAUCUUCCGCAAUGGACGAAAGUCUGACGGAGCAACGCCGCGUGAGUGAUGAAGGUUUUCGGAUCGUAAAGCUCUGUUGUUAGGGAAGAACAAGUGCAAGAGUAACUGCUUGCACCUUGACGGUACCUAACCAGAAAGCCACGGCUAACUACGUGCCAGCAGCCGCGGUAAUACGUAGGUGGCAAGCGUUGUCCGGAAUUAUUGGGCGUAAAGGGCUCGCAGGCGGUUUCUUAAGUCUGAUGUGAAAGCCCCCGGCUCAACCGGGGAGGGUCAUUGGAAACUGGGAAACUUGAGUGCAGAAGAGGAGAGUGGAAUUCCACGUGUAGCGGUGAAAUGCGUAGAGAUGUGGAGGAACACCAGUGGCGAAGGCGACUCUCUGGUCUGUAACUGACGCUGAGGAGCGAAAGCGUGGGGAGCGAACAGGAUUAGAUACCCUGGUAGUCCACGCCGUAAAC